RNAcentral lists this ribosomal RNA (424 nucleotides) under uncultured bacterium. RNAcentral's name for it is "bacterial SSU rRNA". It matches the Rfam family "Bacterial small subunit ribosomal RNA", at positions 355 to 776 of the family's 1533-position model. The record is from RNAcentral.
UGAGGAAUAUUGGUCAAUGGGCGCGAGCCUGAACCAGCCAAGUCGCGUGAGGGAAGACGGCCCUACGGGUUGUAAACCUCUUUUGCCGGGGGGCAAACCGCGCCACGCGUGGCGCGGCGGAGAGUACCCGGAGAAAAAGCAUCGGCUAACUCCGUGCCAGCAGCCGCGGUAAUACGGAGGAUGCGAGCGUUAUCCGGAUUUAUUGGGUUUAAAGGGUGCGUAGGCGGGCGGUCAAGUCGGCGGUCAAAAAUCGGGGCUCAACCCCGUGGAGCCGUUGAAACUGGCCGUCUUGAGUGGGCGAGAAGUACGCGGAAUGCGUGGUGUAGCGGUGAAAUGCAUAGAUAUCACGCAGAACUCCGAUUGCGAAGGCAGCGUACCGGCGCCCUACUGACGCUGAAGCACGAAAGCGUGGGUAUCGAACAGG